Cucurbita pepo subsp. pepo (vegetable marrow) is the source of this 1527-nucleotide non-coding RNA. NCBI's taxonomy places the organism in Eukaryota, Viridiplantae, Streptophyta, Magnoliopsida, Cucurbitales, Cucurbitaceae. The record is from RefSeq and is a predicted model, not a curated record.
CCUUCGUUAAGGUGUGUUCGAGGAUGCCCUUUAACAAAUAAACUUUAGUAACAUAAAAGUUUUAAUGUUACUUUCAAAUAUGAUGAUUAUGAGUAGGAAGUGCUUUUCUAUGGUGGAAAAGAUGCUUGUCACACUCUCAAACAUAGUAUUAGUUGCUUAAGAGGUUUUCCUUUCUGCUUAUUAAUGAAUUGCUUUAUUUCCAUUAUGUGCUCAGGUUCUCCUUUUAGUACCAGCAAAUUUCGUGGAUGGAAAUUGAUUCAUCAAGGGGCUCUAACGCUAAUUUGUCUAAAAGUUUCAAAUUGUUGCACAAUAGUAUUAAUAUAAUCCUUAUCAGUCCAGCAUAGUCUAGAAUUGAUCACAAAUACUUGUUUCUAACAUGAGACUUAAAAAUAUCUCAUAUUAGCAGGUGAAUCUCUUCAACUAAUCUUCUUCUUCUUUUUCAUUUAGGUUACUUGACUCUGUAGAUGUUGGUGGCUCAUACACAUACACUGUUUCAUUUUCUUUCCUGAACUUUUCACACCCUGAAAAGAGAUGAUUCAUGAUUUGGAGCGAUUAAAGAACACCUGGUGCAUUCUCUUUCAAAUGGGUUGACUAUAGAGUAAUCCUUGGAAUAUAAAAAUUUCUCCAUGAUUCAUGUGCUCAAUUCAUUUCUUUCAAGUACUAAGCUAUUUCAGGAUGAUGACUGUGCAUAUAAUGGGCUAGAAGAAUGAGUUUAUGAAGGCCAUCUAAUAUUUAUUUUGUUCUUCUAUCUUGUGUUUUCUAGUCAUUGCUAGUCUCACCUUCUAUCUUGUGCCUAUUGACGUUUUCCUCUGUGGUAUCGAUACAGAUUUUCAAUCAAAGAGAAUUCUUCCAAGUUUCAGGUUCAAGGACUUUUCUUUGUCUGGGAUACUACACCUUUUUUGGAACUUUAUUCACAUCCCGGUGGUGAUUCAUUGACUGUAUUGCUGAAUCUGUCUCGAAUUACAACUAUCGCUACCGAUUAACUCAGGUCAGAAUUUGGAUCGGACAACAAAGAAACACGACAUAAAAAGGAUAAAAGUUGGAUAAGAGAAGAAAAAAAGGAACAAAUGGGUAUUGGUUGGUUAAGUAAAAGGAUCUUUUUUAUGCAUCUCCAAAAGCUCUACAUGAGUUCUUUAUAUAAAACUUUACAGUGAUUGAAUGACGAUGGCGACUUUGAUAUAAUGUUGACUGAAAAGCAAAAAGAAGAAAAUGGUUUGUUCCUCCUCCAUUCAGAAAGAAAGAAAGGUUAGUUUGCAUGGUAGAUUAUUUGAACCUCCAAAUUACACAAUCUUGCAGGAGUGACCCUCCCGUCAUCGAUCCUUGCCCUAUUUCGAGCAAUUGCUUGACUAAGAGAUAGUUGAAGAUUCCUUAAGUAUCCCGACACAAAGUAUCAUCUUCUCUAUCAUCUAAUCAUUGUAUAUUAACGAGGAUCCUAACCAAUUGAUGUAUUUACUACUAAAGGUCAAUUGACGAUCCAUAAUAGUUCUCACAUUGUAUAAACUCGAAGAUAAUCAUUUAGAAAUAUUA